This 479-nucleotide ribosomal RNA is filed under the name uncultured bacterium. RNAcentral's name for it is "partial 16S ribosomal RNA". It matches the Rfam family "Bacterial small subunit ribosomal RNA", at positions 28 to 507 of the family's 1533-position model. The record is from RNAcentral.
GAUGAACGCUAGCGGGAGGCCUAACACAUGCAAGCCGAGCGGUAGAGUUUCUUCGGCAUCUUGAGAGCGGCGCACGGGUGCGUAACACGUGUGCAACCUACCUUUAUCUGGGGGAUAGCCUUUCGAAAGGAAGAUUAAUACCCCAUAAUAUAAUGAUUGGCAUCAAUUAUUAUUGAAAACUCCGGUGGAUAGAGAUGGGCACGCGCAAGAUUAGAUAGUUGGUGAGGUAACGGCUCACCAAGUCAAUGAUCUUUAGGGGCCCUGAGAGGGAGAUCCCCCACACGUGUACUGAGGCACGGACCAGACUCCUACGGGAGGGAGCAGUGAGGAAGAGUGGACAAGGGGGGAGAGCCUGAUCCAGCCAUCCCGCGUGAAGGAUGACGGCCCUAUGGAUGGUAAUCUUCUUUUGGACAGGGAUAAACCUACCCUCGUGAGGGUAGCUGAAGGUACUGUACGAAUAAGCACCGGCUAACUCCGUG